Molecule: ribosomal RNA, 253 nt
Filed under: uncultured bacterium
Lineage: Bacteria
Description: partial 16S ribosomal RNA
Rfam family: Bacterial small subunit ribosomal RNA
Source: RNAcentral
UACGGCGGUGGCUAGCGUUGUUCGGAAUUACUGGGCGUAAAGGGCGCGUAGGCGGCUUUGCAAGUCAGAUGUGAAAGCCCCGGGCUUAACUCGGGAACUGCAUCUGAAACUGCUUAGCUUGAGUCCUGGAGGGGGUAGUGGAAUUCCCAGUGUAGCGGUGAAAUGCGUAGAUAUUGGGAGGAACACCUGCGGCGAAGGCGGCUACCUGGACAGUGACUGACGCUGAGGCGCGAAAGCUAGGGGAGCGAACGGG